Non-coding RNA from Pangasius djambal, 72 nucleotides. The record is from the annotation of a GenBank genome assembly. Lineage: Eukaryota; Metazoa; Chordata; Actinopteri; Siluriformes; Pangasiidae.
UCCCUGGAGGACUACUGGUUAGGCCACAGAGGUCUCACCGCCACGGCCCGGGUUCAAUUCCCGGCCAGGAAA